Molecule: ribosomal RNA, 406 nt
Filed under: uncultured bacterium
Lineage: Bacteria
Description: partial 16S ribosomal RNA
Rfam family: Bacterial small subunit ribosomal RNA
Source: RNAcentral
AUUGAACGCUGGCGGCAGGCCUAACACAUGCAAGUCGAACGAGUGGCGCACGGGUGAGGAAUGUCUGGGAAACUGCCCGAUGGAGGGGGAUAACUACUGGAAACGGUAGCUAAUACCGCAUACCAUCGGAUGUGCACAGAUGGGCAUAGCUAGUAGUAGGGGUAACGGCGUACCUAGGCGACGAGCCCUAGCUGGUCUGAGAGGAUGACCAGCCACACUGGAACUGAGCCACGGUCCAGAAUCCUACGGUAGGCAGCAGUGGGGAAUAUUGCACAAUGGGCGCAAGCCUGAUGCAGCCAUGCCGCGUGUAUGAAGAAGGCCUUCGGGUUGUAAAGUACUUUCAGCGAGGAGGCGUUACUCGCAGAAGAAGCACCGGCUAACUCCGUGCCAGCAGCCGCGGUAAUAC